RNAcentral lists this ribosomal RNA (494 nucleotides) under uncultured bacterium. RNAcentral describes it as "partial 16S ribosomal RNA". It matches the Rfam family "Bacterial small subunit ribosomal RNA", at positions 28 to 507 of the family's 1533-position model. The record is from RNAcentral.
GACGAACGCUGGCGGCGUGCUUAACACAUGCAAGUCGAACGGUGAAGCGCCUUCCUUUUUGGUGGGUGUGGAUGAGUGGCGAACGGGUGAGUAACACGUGAGUAACCUGCCCCCUUCUUCUGGAUAACCGCAUGAAAGUGUGGCUAAUACGGGAUAUUCUGGGUCUGUCGCAUGAUGGGUCUGGGAAAGAUAUUGUUUCGGUGGGGGAUGGGCUCGCGGCCUAUCAGCUUGUUGGUGGGGUGAUGGCCUACCAAGGCGGUGACGGGUAGCCGGCCUGGGAGGGUGGACGGUCACACUGGGACUGAGACACGGCCCAGACUCCGACGGGAGGCAGCAGGGGGGAAUAUUGCACAAUGGGCGCAAGCCUGAUGCAGCGACGCCGCGGGAGGGAUGGAGGCCUUCGGGUUGUGAACCUCUUUCGCCAGUGAAGCAGGCCUGCCUCGUUUGUGGGUGGGUUGACGGUAGCUGGAUAAGAAGCGCCGGCUAACUACGUG